RNAcentral lists this ribosomal RNA (395 nucleotides) under uncultured bacterium. Its description in RNAcentral is "bacterial SSU rRNA". It matches the Rfam family "Bacterial small subunit ribosomal RNA", at positions 505 to 898 of the family's 1533-position model. The record is from RNAcentral.
GUGUCAGCCGCCGCGGUAAUACGUAGGUGGCAAGCGUUGUCCGGAUUUACUGGGCGUAAAGCGCGCGCAGGCGGACUGGUCAGUCCGGGGUGAAAUCUCACGGCUCAACCGUGAGGGGUCCCUGGAUACUGCCAGCCUUGAGGGGCUCAGAGGAGAGUGGAAUUCCGGGUGUAGUGGUGGAAUGCGUAGAUAUCCGGAGGAACACCAGUGGCGAAAGCGGCUCUCUGGGGGCAACCUGACGCUGAGGCGCGAAAGCGUGGGGAGCGAACCGGAUUAGAUACCCGGGUAGUCCACGCCGUAAACGAUGAGUACUAGUUGUCGGGGGUAUCGACCCCCUCGGUAACGAAGCUAACGCGAUAAGUACUCCGCCUGGGGACUACGACCGCAAGGUUAAA